This 484-nucleotide ribosomal RNA is filed under the name uncultured bacterium. Its description in RNAcentral is "partial 16S ribosomal RNA". It matches the Rfam family "Bacterial small subunit ribosomal RNA", at positions 29 to 507 of the family's 1533-position model. The record is from RNAcentral.
AUUGAACGCUGGCGGCAUGCUUUACACAUGCAAGUCGAACGGCAGCGCGGGCUUCGGCCUGGCGGCGAGUGGCGAACGGGUGAGUAAUACAUCGGAACGCGCCCAGUAGUGGGGGAUAGCUCGGCGAAAGCCGGAUUAAUACCGCAUACGACCUGAGGGUGAAAGCGGGGGAUCUUCGGACCUCGCGCUAUUGGAGCGGCCGAUGGCAGAUUAGCUAGUUGGUGGGGUAAAGGCCUACCAAGGCGACGAUCUGUAGCUGGUCUGAGAGGACGACCAGCCACACUGGGACUGAGACACGGCCCAGACUCCUACGGGAGGCAGCAGUGGGGAAUUUUGGACAAUGGGCGAAAGCCUGAUCCAGCAAUGCCGCGUGUGUGAUGAAGGCCUUCGGGUUGUAAAGCACUUUUGGCGGGAACGAAAAGGACUAUGCCAAUACCACGGUUCGAUGACGGUACCCGCAGAAUAAGCACCGGCUAACUACGUG